UUCUAAAAUGCAUUUUUAUUAAGCAAUAAAUACAUAUACAAUUAGCAUUGAAUGAUUAAAACAACAGGCUAGGUAUUGGGAACAUGUGCUAUGGGAGUAAUUAAACACUAAUCAAUAUUCGAUUUUAUGAACAAAAACAACUGUGUUAUGUAAUUAGGAAUUGGUAAGCAAUGUAAACAAUAUCCUAAAUAUAUCAUCUGCCUUGAUGGCUUGCAUUAUUAAUCUGAAGAAAGUGACCAAAAGCAGAAUAUAACUCAAAAUGUACAUUGCAAAACAAUGUACAGAUUUCCUGGGUAUGACAAAUAAAUCUGUAAAAUUAUCCUUAUAAAAAUGGAAAUGGUAUUACUAUGUAGUUCAUAUGUUUUGCAAAUAGUCAUCAUGAUACAUAAAGUAAGUUACCAGUCACCAGCAGUAAUUGAAUGGACGUAUCAAAAAUUCAAAAUCAUGAUAAAUACAUGCAUUAUGAUCAAUCAAAAUCCCAUUUAAUUGUGAUGUCACGAAAGCCAAGAAGUAAUAAUAGCAUCAAAAAGGACAUUUUAAUGAAUGAUACACUUACAUGUUACCAUUACAAAACGAUGUAGCACAUUUCAAAGUAUGGGAAUAAUCACCUACACAAAAAAUUCAUAAAUCAAAUAAUAUAUGGAAGAAAUAUAAACUAGGAUGUGCCAUAAAAAUGCAAAAAAAUAAUAAGAUUACAAUUAUAAAAACGACAAUAUGAAAUGCCAGUGUCUCUUUCUCAAAAUAUAAAGCCAGAUAACAGAUGACCCCCAAAAAUGCAUUAUGAAGUAUGAACACAACUUUUUUUUAACACGACACACCAAAGCUCUCAAAUAUAUGAAAUUAAUAUAAAUGCUGGUAUUUGUUCUUAAAUGGUAUACCCUACAUACAUCAUUAAAUUGCACUACAUCUGAGCUUAACAUGAUUAACGUGUGUUUAGGAUAACUACAAAUACAAAGGCUCAAAACAGAAGGAAUAAAUGUAUUACGCAAUUCCCGUACUACCCAUUAGAUAUUGUAUUCUGGAGAUUUCAAACAGGCUACAUCCAACAUUGGGAAUAAAAACUACACUAUCAUAAUACAUUUUUACACUUUAUACAAUAUAUAGUCAACUUUACGAGAAUUCGGGUGGCACAUACUAUACACGUCAUAUGAAACCGAACACAUCAAAUAAUCCUGGGCUGUGGUCAUGCUUAAAGGGAGUUUUUUUUUUAUAUGCUUAUAGGGAUGCUCCAGGCUGGAGAUAUUCAUUUCUCAAUAAACAGAGUAUAAUUCACUGAGCAAAAUGCUGAAAAUUUGAUCAAAAUCGGAAAACAAAUCACAAAGUUAAUGAAGUUCAAAGACUUUUUUUUUAAUUCCGGUGAAACAGUUCUAGGCAUGUCUUCAUGAAUAUUCAAUGAGCAAAAUGAUCCCCACUUGUUUUUUUGUAUUUUAUUAUAGGAAAUUAGGUCCAUUCAACAAUUUUCUACCACGAACUAAAACAAUUGGAUUGACAACUGAUUAAGUACAUUAGUUAUUUAUAGCUGCAACUUAAUUAAUUAUAAUGGAGACACAUCAUUUACACAUGUAUGAAAAAAUGAAACAAUAAUAAUGAUUUCAUGUAUAAAGGAAAGUGGGGAUGUGACAUCAGCCCACCUAGUGAAUAUUCAUGAUGACGUGCUUAUAACUGUUUUCACAAAAUAUUGCUGAAUUUUAGAUCUCAAUAACUUCAAUAUUUGUUAUCCUAUUUUGAUGAUUAAUUUUCAACAUUUUAUUCUGUGAAUUUCACUUUAUUUAUUUAUAUACAGAGAACUUCAGCCCAGAGUAUCCCUUUAGAUCUUCAUUUGCUACUCUACAAAAAGUUGAUACUAACGAAGCGUGUUUCAUAAAGUUGUUUGUAAAAAUACAAACAACUUUUCAUGUACCUGGAACAUGUCAGAUACUUUCCAUCACUUAGCACAAGAAAGGAUUCCACUUGAGCAUAAAGGCAUUCAAUCAUAACAUACAAAUACUUUCAUGAAAGAGCUCCCCAGUAAGAUUGAAAAUCAAUGCAGUUUCCUUGACAAUGUGAGAGACCACACCUACUUCCAAGGGAGCAGAGAGAACAGAGAAUGUGCAAAGAGUGUCGACAAGCCAAAACUCAAAUGACCACAUGGUAUUGAUUUGGCUACUGAAGAACUUUCCUUAUUGAUAAAAAAGUACUACAUGAAAGCAAGUUUAUUUUUCAAAAUCAAAAACUUGCACUAAUGCCUGGGAAAUGCCUACAUAUGAAAGGGGUGGUCAGGGUAUAUUUUCCUAAAUCUGAAAGAUUGGAUUUUGGAGUGAAGGAGGAUUUCCCUAGGCUCUAUUUUUCCCAGGGAUUUUUUGAGCAUUU
This is a long non-coding RNA of Lytechinus variegatus (green sea urchin), 2349 nucleotides long. RefSeq lists it as uncharacterized. NCBI's taxonomy places the organism in Eukaryota, Metazoa, Echinodermata, Echinoidea, Temnopleuroida, Toxopneustidae. The record is from RefSeq and is a predicted model, not a curated record. The transcript has 2 exons.